RNAcentral lists this ribosomal RNA (253 nucleotides) under uncultured bacterium. RNAcentral describes it as "partial 16S ribosomal RNA". It matches the Rfam family "Bacterial small subunit ribosomal RNA", at positions 524 to 776 of the family's 1533-position model. The record is from RNAcentral.
UACGAAGGGGGCUAGCGUUGCUCGGAAUUACUGGGCGUAAAGGGCGCGUAGGCGGACAUUUAAGACGGGGGUGAAAGCCCAGGGCUCAACCCUGGAAUAGCCUUCGAUACUGGAUGUCUUGAGUUCGGGAGAGGUGAGUGGAAUGCCGAGUGUAGAGGUGAAAUUCGUAGAUAUUCGGCGGAACACCAGUGGCGAAGGCGACUCACUGGCCCGAUACUGACGCUGAGGCGCGAAAGCGUGGGGAGCAAACAGG